AGAGAAAGGAUCCAAAGGGAUCGCAUUGAUCCUAAUCAAGCUGAGUUAUUCCCGAAUAAUUAUUUUAAACUUUUCUCAAUGGAAAGAUAGAAAAAAAAAAAAGAUUUGCUUCGUUUUCCGGAUCAUGCGAUCUCUUCGGAUUCAUCCUU
Brassica napus (rape) is the source of this 149-nucleotide non-coding RNA. The record is from Rfam. NCBI's taxonomy places the organism in Eukaryota, Viridiplantae, Streptophyta, Magnoliopsida, Brassicales, Brassicaceae.